RNAcentral lists this ribosomal RNA (244 nucleotides) under uncultured bacterium. RNAcentral describes it as "partial 16S ribosomal RNA". It matches the Rfam family "Bacterial small subunit ribosomal RNA", at positions 524 to 767 of the family's 1533-position model. The record is from RNAcentral.
UACGAAGGGGCGUAGCGUUGUUCGGAAUUACUGGGCGUAAAGCGCACGUAGGCGGAUUGACAAGUCAGAGGUGAAAUCCCGGGGCUCAACCUCGGAACUGCCUUUGUUACUGUCAGUCUAGAGUCCGGAAGAGGUGGGUGGAAUUCCUAGUGUAGAGGUGAAAUUCGCAGAUAUUAGGAAGAACACCGGUGGCGAAGGCGGCCCACUGGUCCGGUACUGACGCUGAGGUGCGAAAGCGUGGGGA